CUGGGGGGGGUCCUGGGGGGUCCUGGAGCGGAACCGAACCGCGAUGCAGAGACCCCAAUUCCUUCAACACCCCCGAGGAAGCGGCCGAGGCGUUCCUGGCGUCCCUGACCCAGAGUGUGGAGGCGGCCGAGGCCAACAGCACCCACGGCUCCACUGCCAAGAGAAGGAUCCGUUUGGAUUCGGGCUCGGCUCUCUCGGUGUUUUUGCUCCUGGAUUCCUCUCGCAGCAUCGCCGCUGCCGAUGCUGAGCGGGCCCGAGAGGCCCUCAGCGAGCUGGUGGAGAA
This is a long non-coding RNA of Poecile atricapillus (Black-capped chickadee), 283 nucleotides long. RefSeq lists it as uncharacterized. The record is from RefSeq and is a predicted model, not a curated record. The transcript has 3 exons. Lineage: Eukaryota; Metazoa; Chordata; Aves; Passeriformes; Paridae.